GCUCGAUGAUGUUAACCUUCUAAGCUGAGCAAUUUGUAGUUGGUCCUUCAUUUGCACAGUUGAUGUAAGCCUGUUUCAAGACGGGGCUGAGGGCAGU
Small nucleolar RNA from Engraulis encrasicolus (European anchovy), 97 nucleotides. RefSeq annotates it as small nucleolar RNA SNORD21. The record is from RefSeq and is a predicted model, not a curated record. The transcript has a single exon. NCBI's taxonomy places the organism in Eukaryota, Metazoa, Chordata, Actinopteri, Clupeiformes, Engraulidae.